Molecule: RNA transcript, 2515 nt
Organism: Oryza brachyantha (malo sina)
Lineage: Eukaryota; Viridiplantae; Streptophyta; Magnoliopsida; Poales; Poaceae
Exons: 3
Source: RefSeq, a predicted model, not a curated record
GAUCUCUCCUCUUUUGGCCACUCAUCGACCAGUCACCCGACCCGACCGUAGUUAGCAUGAACGGAGGAGGCGAUCGGCAUCAUCACAAGGAUGCCAUUGUCAUGCACGCCGCCGGCAAGGUGCCCAAGUGCAAGGCUUCCUUCUUCCUCUACGGCCUCCUCCUCUACUUUCUCCUGCCACUGCUCGCCCUGUACGUGGUCGCCCUCGCCGUGUCGCCGUUCUACUCGGGUGGCUCGUGCACGCCGGAGAGCCGUGCCAAUGCCGUCUUCGCACGUCUCGCGGCGGGCGCCGAGGAUGAUCACAAGGAGCACAACUCCUCGUCGGUGGCGGUGGCGCGGCGGCGCAGACCGAUGCCGUCCGCGGACGAGGCGCCGACCGGGCUGCGCCACAUUGUGUUCGGCAUUGGCGCGUCGUCGGCGCUCUGGAAGAGACGGAGGGAGUACAUCAGGACAUGGUGGCGGCCGGGACAGAUGCGCGGGUUCGUGUGGCUGGACAGGCCGGUGUACGAGUUCUACUCCAGGAACGCCUCGACGGGGCUACCCGCCAUCAAGAUCAGCGGGAACACGUCCAGUUUCCCGUACACGCACGGCGCCGGCAGCCGGUCGGCGCUGCGCAUCUCCCGCAUCGUGUCGGAGAGCUUCCGGCUGGGCCUCCCCGGCGUGCGGUGGUUCGUGAUGGGCGACGACGACACGGUGUUCUUCCCGGACAACCUGGUGGACGUCCUGUCGCGGUACGACCACACGCAGCCGUACUACAUCGGGAACCCGUCGGAGAGCCACAUCCAGAACCUCAUCUUCUCGUACGGCAUGGCCUUCGGCGGCGGCGGGUUCGCCGUCAGCCGCGCGCUGGCCGCGCAGCUGGCGCGCAUGCAGGACGGGUGCAUGCACCGGUACCCGGCGCUGUACGGCAGCGACGACCGGAUCCACGCGUGCAUGGCGGAGCUGGGCGUGCCGCUGACGCGCCACCUGGGUUUCCACCAGUGCGACCUGUGGGGCGACGUGCUGGGCCUCCUGGCCGCGCACCCCGUGGCGCCGCUGGUGACGCUGCACCACCUGGACUUCCUCCAGCGGGUGUUCCCGACCACCAGGUCGCGGACGGCGGCGCUGAGGCGGCUGUUCGAGGGGCCGGCGCGGCUGGACCCGGCCGGAGUGGCGCAGCAGUCGGUGUGCUACGACGGCGACAAGCAGUGGACGGUGUCGGUGUCAUGGGGGUUCGCGGUGGUGGUGACGCGCGGGGUGCUGUCGCCGCGGGAGAUGGAGAUGCCCAUGCGCACCUUCCUCAACUGGCACCGCCGCGCCGACUACACGGCGUACGCCUUCAACACGCGCCCCGUGGCUCGCCAGCCCUGCCAGACGCCGCAGGUCUACUACAUGCGCCGCUCCCGCCUCGACCGCCGCCGCCGCAACACCACCGUCACCGAGUACGACCGCCGCCGCGCCGCGCCCGCCAAGUGCGGCUGGCGCAUCCCUGACCCCGCCGCACUGCUCGACCGCGUCGUCGUCCUCAAGAAGCCCGACCCGGACCUCUGGAAAAGGUCCCCGAGGAGGAAUUGCUGCAGGGUGGUGUCGUCGCCUGAGCAAGGGAAGGACCGGAAGAUGACGAUCGAUGUCGGCGUCUGCAGGGACGGCGAGUUCGCCAGAAUUUAGGUAAAUUGGUCAGCUCCAUUACAGUUUCCCGACACGGCAUUAUUGAUCUAAAGAUCUUCAUCUCGCGUUCCCGACACGGCUAGAAUUUGCUAGGACAACAAAAAGGCGAGGAAAGCAUCAAUAUCAAUCAGAGACUCAGUUACUGAUCGCUUCGGCUAAUGAUAGCUGCAACUUUAGAUAGAUGUUAAGAUUCAUUGCAACCUCCGGUGAGAUGUGGAACACUUGUGGGCAGUGGUGUGCUGCCUCCUGCCGCGAACUGUGUUUGCGCGGCAUCGUGUCGAGGUGUUGAGAUACGGAUUGGCACCAUCAAAGUAGCCCAUGGGCCAUCAUGUAUCAAGCAACCAAGGAGUGAGUGGGCCGUUUUUUUCCAGACCUCCAGCGUAAAAUGAGCGGUGCAGAGGAGCCCAACGUACGUCGGUGGAAUCGCGGUGGUCGUCGACUGCGCCGGCGGGGGAGCGCGGCGGUUCAUGGAGGACGCGGCAAGCAGCAAGCUGCGCCGUUGAUUGAGUAUUUGUGCACACGGACUGAAAAAACUCGAACCAUAUUUUGUGGAACAAUAAUGUAUGUCUCCUGGCAAAUCAUUGAGCUACUGCAUAGAAUAGAAACCCUAUCGAUUAGGUUCUGGGAAGUGGCAACCUACCAUACAAUAUGGUUGAAGAAGAGACCGCAAGUCUGCAAUCUGCAUCAUGCUUCGUUUUGAGCCGAACAAAUCGGCGGCCAGUGGGCGUGCGCACAGAAAGAUGUUGCUGAACCGCUCGGUGGGUACAGUGUUUUAUCACUCAACGGUGGCGGAUAUGGAAUCAAGGUUUUUUUUUAUCAUCCUUAAAAAAUAUCUUAGUACCAAAAAUUUUAAUAUAAAUUUUUGGUAU